CAGUAAUAGUGUGUCUUGCAUUAAUAAUGUGGGUGAGUCAUACAGUAAUAGUGUGGGCAGGUCUUACAGUGAUAGUGUGGGUGGGUGUUGCAGUAAUAGUGUGGGUGAGUCUUACAGUGAUAGUGUGGGUGGGUGUUGCAGUAAUAAUGUGGGCAUGUCUUGCAUUAAUAAUGUGGGCGGGUAUUGCAUUAAUAAUAUGGGCGGGCCUUUCAGUAAUAGUGUGGGCGGGUCUUACAGUAAUAGUGUGGGCGGCCCCUACAGUAA
This is a long non-coding RNA of Sinocyclocheilus anshuiensis, 264 nucleotides long. RefSeq lists it as uncharacterized. NCBI's taxonomy places the organism in Eukaryota, Metazoa, Chordata, Actinopteri, Cypriniformes, Cyprinidae. The transcript has 3 exons. The record is from RefSeq and is a predicted model, not a curated record.